This is a long non-coding RNA of Solea senegalensis (Senegalese sole), 1260 nucleotides long. RefSeq lists it as uncharacterized. The transcript has 3 exons. Lineage: Eukaryota; Metazoa; Chordata; Actinopteri; Pleuronectiformes; Soleidae. The record is from RefSeq and is a predicted model, not a curated record.
UUCCAGAAAGCGGGUUAUGUGAGAACUCUGAGUUUGUUAACCCUGAGAUGAGGGAAACUCUGAGUUAUCCGUUCCAGAAAGAGAGGUAACUUAAACUGUGGGUCUGUUACUGCGGUAACUUACUCUGUGAACAUAACCUGCUCGCUGGCAGGUUUACUAUAAGAAACCCAGAGUUUCUACCUGUCUCCUCCCACACGAAGAAAGCAGUUAGACAUGGAUUGCCCAUUCAUUCGAAAUCCAAUCGACAUCGAAGCCGUAAUGAUUCGAAAUGCAUUACGUCGUGAGAGAAUCUUCCGACCCAGAUUAGACGUUUGAUCAUUUCCCGAGGAUUUUCUUUUCGAACGCUACCGCUUUUCAUCCAACGGUAUCACUCAAUAACCUUCUCCGGCCACAUAUCACCAACCUCACACACCGCGGACGAGCACUCACAUCAGAGCAAAUUUUAUGCGUAGCACUACGUUUUUUUGCAAACGGCAGUUUUCUGUAUAACACCGGGGAUGCAGAGCAUUAUGGAAAGGCAACAGUGUGUAGAGCUGUGAGGAAGGUAACCCUCGCACUGAAACGCCUGUUACCAGUGAUGGUGGUGUUCCCCGGACACAAACCUGUUCGCAGCAUCAAAGAGGAAUUCCACAGGAUUGCGGGUUGUGACUGAUGUAGAAAUCAUAUAUUCUGUUAUUAGAAAUUAUGAUAUAGGCCUACAUUCUGCGGCGGCCUCAGAGUGGGGUCAGUAGCUUAAUUAGCUGUCAUUUUGCAGGCCUUCCAAAUGUGAUAGGAUGCACAUACACAAAUCCCUAUUACUGCGCCUACACAAAAUGAAGGGGACUAUGUGAAUCGAAAAUCCUUUCACAGCAUCAAUGUCCAGAUCAUAUGUGAUGCAACCUCAGUGUGUAGUCUGAGCAACAGAUUUGCACGUGGAGAGUUUGAUGGCUACCUGCUGGGGGAUCGAGGCUAUCCAUGCCAGCCCUCUCUGUUGACCCCUUACCCUGAGCCAGGGCCCCAACAACGUUUUAAUGUGGCCCACUGCAGGACUAGAGCCCGGGUUGAGAUGACCAUAGGCAUACUCAAAUCCCGGUUCCAGUGCCUGCGUAAGCUCAGGGUCACCCCAGAGAGGGCAUGUGACAUCAUUGUGGCAUGUGUUGUUCUCCAUAAUAUUGCAAUUAUUAGAGGAGAGCAACACCCUGCCGUACAAAUCAAUGAUGCUGAGGAUGACCAUCCCAUCCCUGCAGAUGUUCAGGAUGGAAGGGCUGUAAGGGACCUCAU